UUUUAAAUUGAGAGUUUGAUCCUGGCUCAGGAUGAACGCUGGCGGCGUGCUUAACACAUGCAAGUCGAGCGAUGAAGUUUCCUUCGGGAAACGGAUUAGCGGCGGACGGGUGAGUAACACGUGGGUAACCUGCCUCAUAGAGUGGAAUAGCCUUCCGAAAGGAAGAUUAAUACCGCAUAAUGUUGAAAGAUGGCAUCAUCAUUUAACCAAAGGAGCAAUCCGCUAUGAGAUGGACCCGCGGCGCAUUAGCUAGUUGGUGGGGUAACGGCCUACCAAGGCGACGAUGCGUAGCCGACCUGAGAGGGUGAUCGGCCACAUUGGGACUGAGACACGGCCCAGACUCCUACGGGAGGCAGCAGUGGGGAAUAUUGCACAAUGGGGGAAACCCUGAUGCAGCAACGCCGCGUGAGUGAUGAAGGUUUUCGGAUCGUAAAGCUCUGUCUUUGGGGAAGAUAAUGACGGUACCCAAGGAGGAAGCCACGGCUAACUACGUGCCAGCAGCCGCGGUAAUACGUAGGUGGCGAGCGUUAUCCGGAUUUACUGGGCGUAAAGGGAGCGUAGGCGGAUGAUUAAGUGGGAUGUGAAAUACCCGGGCUCAACUUGGGUGCUGCAUUCCAAACUGGUUAUCUAGAGUGCAGGAGAGGAGAGUGGAAUUCCUAGUGUAGCGGUGAAAUGCGUAGAGAUUAGGAAGAACACCAGUGGCGAAGGCGACUCUCUGGACUGUAACUGACGCUGAGGCUCGAAAGCGUGGGGAGCAAACAGGAUUAGAUACCCUGGUAGUCCACGCUGUAAACGAUGAAUACUAGGUGUGGGGGUUUCAACACCUCCGUGCCGCCGCUAACGCAUUAAGUAUUCCGCCUGGGGAGUACGGUCGCAAGAUUAAAACUCAAAGGAAUUGACGGGGACCCGCACAAGUAGCGGAGCAUGUGGUUUAAUUCGAAGCAACGCGAAGAACCUUACCUACACUUGACAUCCCUUGCAUUACUCUUAAUCGAGGAAAUCCCUUCGGGGACAAGGUGACAGGUGGUGCAUGGUUGUCGUCAGCUCGUGUCGUGAGAUGUUGGGUUAAGUCCCGCAACGAGCGCAACCCUUGUCGUUAGUUACUACCAUUAAGUUGAGGACUCUAGCGAGACUGCCUGGGUUAACCAGGAGGAAGGUGGGGAUGACGUCAAAUCAUCAUGCCCCUUAUGUGUAGGGCUACACACGUGCUACAAUGGCUGGUACAGAGAGAUGCAAUACCGUGAGGUGGAGCCAAACUUUAAAACCAGUCUCAGUUCGGAUUGUAGGCUGAAACUCGCCUACAUGAAGCUGGAGUUACUAGUAAUCGCGAAUCAGAAUGUCGCGGUGAAUACGUUCCCGGGUCUUGUACACACCGCCCGUCACACCAUGAGAGUUGGCAAUACCCGAAGUCCGUGAGCUAACCGUAAGGAGGCAGCGGCCGAAGGUAGGGUCAGCGAUUGGGGUGAAGUCGUAACAAGGUAGCCGUAGGAGAACCUGCGGCUGGAUCACCUCCUUUCUAA
Molecule: ribosomal RNA, 1520 nt
Filed under: Clostridium perfringens
Lineage: Bacteria; Bacillati; Bacillota; Clostridia; Eubacteriales; Clostridiaceae
Description: 16S ribosomal RNA
Rfam family: Bacterial small subunit ribosomal RNA
Source: RNAcentral